RNAcentral lists this ribosomal RNA (262 nucleotides) under uncultured bacterium. RNAcentral describes it as "partial 16S ribosomal RNA". It matches the Rfam family "Bacterial small subunit ribosomal RNA", at positions 99 to 354 of the family's 1533-position model. The record is from RNAcentral.
CGCACGGGUGAGUAACACGUGAGUGACCUGCCUUUUAGACUGGAACAACUUACCGAAAGGUGAGCUAAUGCCGGAUGAGUUAUAUAAGUGCAUGUUUAUAUAGGAAAAGUUGGGGAGACCUGACGCUGAAAGAUGGACUCGCGUCCCAUUAGCUAGUUGGUAGGGUAAUGGCCUACCAAGGCGACGAUGGGUAGCCGGCCUGAGAGGGUGGCCGGCCACACUGGGACUGAGACACGGCCCAGACUCCUACGGAAGGCAGCAG